GUUUGUUUCAGUAUUCAUUGAAUGAAAGGAAGCUGCUGGAACUGAGGACAGAAAUCGUGGCACUGCAUGCUCAGCAAGAUCGGGCCCUGACCCAGACUGACCGGAAAAUAGAAACUGAGGUUGCUGGCCUCAAAACAAUGCUAGAGGCACAUAAGCUUGACACUAUCAAAUACUUAGCAGGGUCUAUAUUUACGUGCCUAACCGUAGCUCUGGGAUUUUACCGCCUGUGGAGAUAAUAAAAGUAUAUUUAAAGUAAUGCCCACUGUUUGCCUUAACAGUACCAGAUUGUUACCCUCCCCCUCUUAUUCCAAAUUUUAAUCCUGGUUUGACUUAAUGCAUAUUUAUUCUGUGCAAAUUAUGGGUACAUAACCAACAUAAAGCAGUCUAGAAUUCCACAGUG
This is an RNA transcript of Jaculus jaculus (lesser Egyptian jerboa), 400 nucleotides long. RefSeq lists it as uncharacterized. Lineage: Eukaryota; Metazoa; Chordata; Mammalia; Rodentia; Dipodidae. The transcript is spliced from 3 exons. The record is from RefSeq and is a predicted model, not a curated record.